RNAcentral lists this transfer RNA (70 nucleotides) under Dipodomys ordii (Ord's kangaroo rat). It matches the Rfam family "tRNA". From Rfam's summary of the family: Transfer RNA (tRNA) molecules are approximately 80 nucleotides in length. Their secondary structure includes four short double-helical elements and three loops (D, anti-codon, and T loops). Further hydrogen bonds mediate the characteristic L-shaped molecular structure. tRNAs have two regions of fundamental functional importance: the anti-codon, which is responsible for specific mRNA codon recognition, and the 3' end, to which the tRNAs corresponding amino acid is attached (by aminoacyl-tRNA synthetases). tRNAs cope with the degeneracy of the genetic code in two manners: having more than one tRNA (with a specific anti-codon) for a particular amino acid; and 'wobble' base-pairing, i.e. permitting non-standard base-pairing at the 3rd anti-codon position. The record is from Rfam by way of RNAcentral. Lineage: Eukaryota; Metazoa; Chordata; Mammalia; Rodentia; Heteromyidae.
GGUAAUGUGGCUCAGUGGUAGAGUGCUUACCUAGCAUGUAUGAAGCCCUGGGUUCAAUUCCUCACUAACA